Molecule: long non-coding RNA, 226 nt
Filed under: Elaeis guineensis (African oil palm)
Lineage: Eukaryota; Viridiplantae; Streptophyta; Magnoliopsida; Arecales; Arecaceae
Description: long non-coding RNA (EGUI_LNC018844)
Source: RNAcentral
UGACAUCAUGAUACUAUAUUCAUAUGUAAAUGAUGGAAAUAGCAAGUUAUCGAAACAAGUUAUAGUGUUAUAUAUUUUGGAACUAUAAAUUUAAUAACUAGAGAAAAAUAUUCUAUGAUCUAAAUAUACCUAUACAUAUAUGUAUUGGAUGAUGGUACAAGUUGCUCCAAUCAAGUCUAAAAAAUCGGAACAACGAGUUAUUGCUAACCCACAGCAAGAAGCUACC